This 234-nucleotide ribosomal RNA is filed under the name uncultured bacterium. RNAcentral's name for it is "partial 16S ribosomal RNA". It matches the Rfam family "Bacterial small subunit ribosomal RNA", at positions 923 to 1163 of the family's 1533-position model. The record is from RNAcentral.
GCACAAGCAGUGGAGUAUGUGGUUUAAUUCGAAGCAACGCGAAGAACCUUACCAGGUCUUGACAUCCCGAUGACCGGUUCAGAGAUGAGCCUUUUCUUCGGAACAUCGGUGACAGGUGGUGCAUGGUUGUCGUCAGCUCGUGUCGUGAGAUGUUGGGUUAAGUCCCGCAACGAGCGCAACCCUUACGGUUAGUUGAUACGCAAGAUCACUCUAGCCGGACUGCCGUUGACAAAA